GUGCUUUUGUGAGCGAGGCCCGAUGGGGGCAAAGACAGAGGAAGCACCGCAGGCCUUCCCGCUGGCUGCCAUGGGGACAGCUGCAGGGAUUCUGGCGGGCAUGCUGAGAAGGGACUGCCAUGGCAGCCAAAGAACGUUCAGUGUCGACACUGACAGCUUUCAUCCCUUUAUUUAGUUCAUUUUAACUCAAUCUGAUCUGCCAGCUCCUCUUUUCCAUGAAAGAAGGGAAUGCCAACUUGGGUCUAGAGGGGGUACCGCUGAGCUGCACAGCGCGCGAGAAAAGAAAAGGACCACAUUUUUCAAGGGGCUGAUGUUCUGCGUUUCACUCAAGGUCACUUAGAAGCAUUGAGAGCUGCCAUCCUUGCCCAGUUUGCCACCUCCUUGGCCCUCGGGGAGGAGGCGAGCCUCUCAAGGGACCCAGUGGUUUGGUUGAAGUAAAUCCAAGUCACCAGAGGCCGGAUAUGACCCCAAAGGGAAGUUUCAUCAACUUUCAUUUCCAUUCACUCCUGGGCCACUGGCCUGCCGGGGAUACUGCUGAGCCGUCAGAAAUGAGUCAGGAAAACUUUGAAAAGUGUGGGUUUCCCCCGCAGAGCCCAGAACACCCCAGAGACGUCGCCAACACUAAGAUGGGCACAGGAGCAACCGUUCCAAGAUGGUACCUUUCUGGAAUCCACGUCCUGGGAGACAUUACACCUUCUGUCAAGAACACCUGAGGUGGCAACUUAGUCCCCGCUCUCCCAGCAUCCAGCCCAAAGCCACCAGGCCCUGGAGAUGUAGGAGGCAGAUAAAGAUGGCAAUGGAGUGAAGGGCGGGGCUGUGCAAGGGUUGCCCGGGGCAACAACGCCAGCACCCAGCAGUGAAGCAGGCCAGGUAGGGUCUCUGGAUUUAGGGUCUCUGGAGGGGCACUGAGGGAAUGAUGCCUUAAGAUGAAAUCCAGUUUUCUUACCACUUUGGUUGCCUGGGGUGGCCAAGAAAAUUGGCUGUGUUUUACUGCCAUGGGCUAGGGGUUAAGGCAGUGGCAGGGAAGGAAAGUGGGGAUCCUGACCUGGCUUAGAGGCUCCCCACCUGGGUGGAGAGAAGCAACUGGCAGGAGAAGGGGAGCCAGAGAGCCGCCUUCUGCCUAUAAAUGCUUUCGGGGCUGAGAGAGCAUGGGUGUCCCCUUGCCAAGGAGACCAAUAUCCCUGCCAGCUGGAUCUGAUCUCUUAGGUCACGUUUCAGCUGCACAGAGGGCUCCAUGCAAUGUGUGCCAGAGUCAGAAACACCACAGGUGUUGUUCAGCCAAAUGCUUUCCCAUGCAAUAUAUGUCCCCACCUGGGUGCCAAGGUGGCUGCGCUGGGCAGGAUCCUGGAGGCCAUAGCAGGCCUUAGGUGGGGAAAGGAAACUAUUCAAAAGGACAUUUCUGCAGGAUGACCCCUGAGCUGACUGCGUCCAGGAGAGAGGCAGAGUUUUCCAGAAUCACAGUCUGGUAUCUACCACGGAGCUCUGGGGUUAGACUGGGUGUCACGGUUACUCGGGUCCAAAAUGUCAUUCACUAGGAAAGAAGGGGUCAGGCUCCAGAUAAAAGCCCAGCUCUCAGAAGCCUCCCCUGCUCCAGAAAUUCCUGAAGGGAGAGCAGGUCCUGAAGGGAGGAGGCUGAUGGAGAUAGUCACAAGAACACCAGAGAAUCCACCUGCCUAAUAUAGAGACCCCAAGUCCCCCAAGUGCAAACUGGCU
This 1713-nucleotide long non-coding RNA is filed under the name Sus scrofa (pig). RNAcentral's name for it is "lncRNA (ENSSSCG00030045090.1)". The record is from RNAcentral. Lineage: Eukaryota; Metazoa; Chordata; Mammalia; Artiodactyla; Suidae.